This 501-nucleotide ribosomal RNA is filed under the name uncultured bacterium. RNAcentral's name for it is "bacterial SSU rRNA". It matches the Rfam family "Bacterial small subunit ribosomal RNA", at positions 899 to 1397 of the family's 1533-position model. The record is from RNAcentral.
ACUCAAAUGAAUAGACGGGGGCCCGCACAAGCGGUGGAGUAUGUGGUUUAAUUCGAUGCAACGCGAAGAACCUUACCCAGACUUGACAUCUAUGGAACUCGCGCCAAAACGCGGGGUGCCCUUCGGGGAAUCAUAAGACAGGUGCUGCAUGGCUGUCGUCAGCUCGUGCCGUGAGGUGUUGGGUUAAGUCCCGCAACGAGCGCAACCCUUAUGCAUAGUUGCUACCAGGUAAAGCUGGGCACUCUAUGGAGACUGCCCCGGUUAACGGGGAGGAAGGUGGGGACGACGUCAAGUCAUCAUGGCCCUUACGUUUGGGGCUACACACGUACUACAAUGGCGCGUACAAAGGGCAGCGAUGCCGCGAGGUGGAGCCAAUCCCAAAAAACGCGUCCCAGUCCGGAUUGCAGUCUGCAACUCGACUGCAUGAAGUUGGAAUCGCUAGUAAUUCCGGAUCAGCAUGCCGGGGUGAAUGCGUUCCCGGGCCUUGCACACACCGCCCGU